GCAUUGUCAUGCUACCUAUUUCUUCUGUCAUCCUCUUCAUAAUCCUCUAUCAAAUCCAUCCAUCCUUAAUCUUUUCCAUCCCGUCCAUAUUUUCCCAUCCGAUGUUUGGACACAUUUCGUGUAGGGUUUUCCAGCUCCAGAUCUGGUUUUCGAGGGGCCUUGCAAUUUAAAUCAACUAAAUACUUUUCUUUUUGCAUAGAUUUCACCUAGCGGAUGCUUACGUGACGGGAAGAGAAGAUGCACCUCAGAUUGUGGUGUUGCAGGAGUGGUAGGGAGUUGACUACGAGAUUAAGAAUCAUGCAGCUAAUAUAGCUAAAAUGGAUUCUGGUUAUAAGACUCUCAUUCCCGAGUAAGUUUUUUUUUACCAUCUUCAUAAAGAUAUGCAACAUUGUCAAUUGCAGAGCCUGUUGAAUUAAAGACUUUUAUGUAGUAAGUUUUAGAUUGAGACAAUUGAUAGGCUUUCUAUUUAACUUACUUGUUCCUGACCACUUGAGUUAAGCUUCUCCUAGCAUACAAAAAUUGACAAAACAAGCUUAUAAGGUUUAGUUUCUCUCUAUUUGGAUUUUCCUAAAUAGCAAUGUUGUAUUUGUGUGGAAAGUAAUAUGAUGUUUUAAUGAAGGUAAAGUUUGAGGUACUUGUUUUUUGUAGUUUGUAUCGUGGGAAAGUUGGUUUGGAUGUUGCAGAAGCAAAACAUUUGAUGGAUGGCCUUUAUUGGAUAGGCGAUGUUAAAGAUAUAAAGGCAUCUGCGAAGUGGUUGAAGGAAAAUGGUUCAAAAAAGGUGAGCGUUAAAGCUUUAAUUGCACGAAAUCUAAAGUUAUAUGUCAUGAAGUUGGCAACUUAAAUUUCAACAAUGUUUUUCUCUUCCUUUGUUAAUUUAGUUUGUGGCAUCGAUGAGGUGUGCCUAAAGUUUCAUUUUGCUCAAGUUCUACAAGCUGGUUUCUAUGACUAUUCUUUAUCAUUCAAUUAUUUUGUUACUAUUUUGUGUCACUGAGAUUAUCUUCUUGAAUGUGUAAGAAGACUACUGCACUUUCAGUAUUUGCAAAUGGGAUUGUCCUCUUCAUCAGAUAUUGUUACCUAUAGUUUCAUUCAGAUUUUGAGAGCUUUUGAUGGAUUGUUAAUAAUGUUUAAUCUUUGAUGUCCUAAUCUCUAGGAAAGUCAGUGAUCCUUGUAGGUUUAUUUUCUUUGAAUGUCAUCAUUUUCACCUUUUCAUUGCUUUGUGACAGUCUCAAGCAACUUCUCUGUUCUUUUUGGCAGUGAUAUCUUCUUGUAUUAGUGUCUUUUAUGCUUGUGUUUUGUCUUCUCACUGUGGCCCUUGUUUGAUGUCAUACUUUCAUCAACUAUUGUUGCUACUCAAAGCCAUUCUCACUAUAAAAAACUUUGUAUAUUCCAAUUUGACUAUUACAAGUCCUUGUUCCACCUAAUUUGAUGUUUGUUGCAUUGAGCUUACAUGAUAGUCAUGCUUGUGCAUACCUCUACCCUUCUCUUACAUUCACUGUAUUUUUAUCUUGCAAAUGGUAUGUGGCAGUGACUUACAAAUGUGUCUCUGUUCAUAUAGCAUGAUUGAGAUUUCUCCUUAUUCAUUUCUUAACUGCUUCAAACCCUGCCUAUCCUAAAUCUUGAUGCACUUAUACUCAACCCUGGCUGUCACUAUUCUUCUCGUAACUGUGUUCUACUAUAUACAUGUAACAAUCCUCUUGAUUUUUUUAUAAUUAUGGAAAAGUGCAGUGUAAGAAGACAUUAAUCAAAUUGCAUCGUUUCAGGAAGCAAGUGAAAAAUUUUGAAGACAGGUAAAAUAAAUGUGACUAGUUGUGGGAAACGAAUGAAUUAUUCCAUUGAUCAAGUACAAGCUGUGGGUUUGCGUAGAACCUGCCUCAGGAACUGCAUCUAUUAAUUUCUUCCCUUUUCUAAAUUUUUCUCAAAUAAUAUGUUCCAUAUCUUCUGCCAAACUACCCAUCGAUGGUGGCAGGAAAUUUGACUUUUUGUAGUAUGAGUGCAUAAAUAGAAGUAAUCAAUGAGUAAUGUAAGUGUCAUGUUUUGAGAAUCUUUUAGAAACUUGAAAACAUGUCAAUGUUGCAGCAGCUGGUGGCCUUUAUCUUAUUUGUUUUCUCAUCUUCACUUCCGUUCAACUUCAGAGUGGAGAGCGUAGGAACCAAUAUCAAGGUAAAUCGACAAACCAUAAUUAUAGUGUCAAUACUUACAACUUCUAUUUGGGUAUUAUUAAGUGGAAAAAUGCUGAUAAAAUGUAUUGCUUGAUCUACAAAACUAUAUCGUAUACAUGGGUGGUAGUAGAGCCCAUCAAAAUCUAGAGGCUGAAAAGUUGUAUAAUAGUAGAGCCCAUAUAAAUUAAGUCUCAUUAGGGCUAGUAUACGAAAAAAAUUAAAUUGUUGAUGGAUGUAUCAAAUCAGGUUCUUGUGAUCUUUUCUAAUCUAUUUUCUUGAUUGCUAUGAAGUUAUAGCAUAAAUAAUAAAGGCUAGUAGAAUUUAACUGGCAGUUAUUAAUACCAUGUAAUCUUUAGCCAUUUUAUAACAAAGACAUAAAAUCUAACCUGAAUUGGAAUGUUGAACAGAAAUGAUUAUGACAAACCUCCAGUUUCUAAAUUUUUAUUGGAAGGUGUUUGGGAACAUAAAUUUCAGAAGGCAUGUGCUCAUUCAGAUGUUCCUGAUCUUCCAUUUGCUUGUGAAAUUAGGAUGAUCGGGUUGCUACACUUUGAUUAAAUGGUGAAUCAGUGAGGGCGGCUAUUCAUGCUGAGAAGGUAUGCCAUCAAUUUCAAAUGGUUGUGUCUUCUUUCAUUUGCUUGCAACAUUGUGUUUUUGUGGAAAAUAAAUUUAUUGUCUCUUUUGCCCCCUUUUCAGUAAGAUAUUAGAACCUACUUUGUAGAACUUAAGAAUUAUGCCAAAAUAUAUAUAUUUUUGUAACAUGUUGUUUCUUGACUAUUAAAUCAUCUACUUUAUGAAAUGUGUGAGAAUGGAUAGUCUUCUGACCGUUGCCAAAAUCUUGCCCUUCAACUGAGGGGACUUCUGUUGGACUUUCUUCCAUUGAGUAAAGCUUGAUCUUUUUAAAAUUUCUUCAACUUUGUGGCUUCGGUUUGAUUGAAAAAAGGUUACGAAUCCUCCUUUUCUUUUGGGUCAAAUUGGAGACACCCCAGGCACUUUGAAUUUAGGAAUGGUCCCCAAAUGUUAGAUUUGAUCGAUGAGGAGGGAGCUUAUGUGUCAAAUUCCACAUCUGUUAACCUUUUAAGAAUAUUAUGAUUUUAAUUGUAUUUCGUGUCCCCUCCUCCCCUAAGAUUCUGGAUUGACUCGUAAGCCCAUUUUUCAUUCCUCAUGGACUUGGGGAAAGUAACGUAGGGAAAUGAAAGUACUUAAAUUAAGAACCUAGAUUAUGGGGGCUGCAGGUGUUAUGUAAAAGAGCUAUUAUUUUUAAAAGAAUGUUGUUAGCCAAAGAUUAUGUGGGUGUAUUUUGGAGGGAAGGGAGAAGAAUUUGAAAUUUGCAUACUUAAUCGAGACAGGGAUCCAGAGAAUGCAUGCUUGUUUAUCCAUUAAAUUUACUGCAAUAGAUUGGACACCCUAUUCAUCUAUCACUAGAAAGUGGAGGACAAAACCUCCUAGUUUCCAUGGCUAGUUGGUAGACGAAACCCCUUGAACCAGUUGUGAGCAACUCCACACAAAGAUAGUUAUUGAGCUUCAUUGAUUUGUUGUUUGGACAAGACUUGCUUAUCUAAGUUUAAGGUGUCUCUUUUAGCACCUAGGUUUUGUAAUUAUGAGGUGGUUCCUACAGCACCAUUGGCUAUAGAUUCAUCAUAUUUCUUGAUUAUAAUAUUGUUGUUAUUGUUCUUUAAAGCCAAGUCAAGUAAAUUGACUGUAAAUGUAAUUUUUGUUGUAAAAAGAGAAGUAAUUAGUUAUUGUGAGUUGCUAUGUUGAUUGUUCGUUUUGCAAGAGUUUAUAAUUCAUUUCUACAUAUUCUACUAAGUAUAUUGCUUGUUUCAUUAGAUUUGAUUUGAAUUAAGAUUUAUUCAUUGGUGUUCCUUGAAGUUAAAUGCUGAUUCAAUCUUUGUAGCGAUGCUAAUUUUCUUGCUGCCUUCGACAAUGCCACAAACAAUGGAGUAGAUAUCAUCUCUAUUUCAAUAGGUCCUCUUCCUCCUCAACCAAGCUUUUUUGUUGAUAGCAUAUUGAUUUCAUCUUUCCAUGCCUUCAAAUAGGGAAUUUUUGUCUCCGCAUCUACUAGAAACAGUGGAAUGCCAAACAUCGCUACCAAUGUUGCUCCAUGGAUUUUCACAGUUGCAGCCUCCUCCAUCGACAAAAGUUUCAAGUCCGAUGUACUUCUCAUAGACAAUAUAACACUUCAUGUAUUUAUCUCUUAAUUCAACCCAAUAUAUAUAUAUAUAUAUAUAUAUAUAUGUUUGUAUCAAAUCCACCUAGUAUAAACUAAGUUUUGCUUGUAGGGAGAAGCUGUAAAUCCUAUCACACAAAAUGGGUUCGCUGGCCUUGUCCUUGCAAGCAACUGUGCAACCCCUAGUGUUUCUCAGACAAAUGCAAGUUUUAUGACUGGUGAACACACUGGAUCCCACAAAAGUAAAUGGAAAAGUACCUAAAUAUACAUUAUUAGACCAUCAUUAGUUGGAUCCCACCUGGUGAAGCUUCAGAGGAGGACCUAAAAUAUGCUUUACUACAUGGUUCCUAAGGCCUUUGACAACAUAUGCUAGAUCGAGGGGAGAAAAUAGUCACGUGAGGAAGCCCAACAAUCAAAGUCAUCAGGUAGUGAGCAUGAAGAGGAGCUACAGGAACAUGAUGAAUUGUUUGUUACACAAAAUGAUUCCAUUGUCAUUCUUGAACCUCGACAGGAAACCAUCCUUGAAUUUCAGCAAGUGGGAGACAAGAAUAAUGACGAGGGUGUUCAAUGUGAUGAACAAUCCACAACCACAAUUAGAAUAGUGUAUCAUAGAAAGAGGACACAAAGGAAGAGGAUGGAUAGAAACAAAUGAACAAAAGACAUAUUUUCUUCCUAUCAUUGUUCAAUUUUCAUUGCAAUUAUAAACCUAUUUGUAUCAUCAUACUUGUUUAAUGAAUACUUGUCAAUUUAUUCA
This is an RNA transcript of Cryptomeria japonica (Japanese cedar), 5080 nucleotides long. RefSeq lists it as uncharacterized. Lineage: Eukaryota; Viridiplantae; Streptophyta; Pinopsida; Cupressales; Cupressaceae. The record is from RefSeq and is a predicted model, not a curated record. The transcript is spliced from 4 exons.